UUCACUCUUAUUUCAAAACUUCAACGAAAACCAUGAGCAAAAACGACUCCGGAUCCAAGCUAACAUAUCUCUUUGUUGAAGCAUUGAUGCACCUUCGCUUCAUUCACUGAAUCACAUUCUCUCACUCUCGUUUCAAAGGUUCAAAUGCUAUGAGUAAAUUCAAAUCCGUGAGAAUCCUCCUAAAAUCGAAUUCGCCGUUCAUCCUUACCAAAUCAAAUAUAUAUCGAAGCCUAGGUCUUCAGCCUUUUGUAAUCGGGACGAGUCGAAGCAUGAAUGUGUUCAAGAGAGUCAUUUCGAUAAGGUAACCAAGAGGCAGAAGAAAACUUGCUAAAUCGAUGCUCCGACGCGAUGGCUCUCCGGCGAUUGCACGUACUGAAUUCUCCUUCCCUUUUCCCUUUGCUCUUCUUCUUCUUCUCUGCAACCUUGAUGCUACGUGAGUGUUGAAGAGAGAAUGUUUUGAUGAGGAAUCAUAGAGGGCUUUGUGAGAAUUAAAGAGUGAAUGUGAUAUAAUUCAGUUGUGCAAUUACGGUUCUGUUAGAAUUAUGUUUUCACCAAGUUUUGUUAAUUGCAGUGGAACCCAAUUUUUGUUCUGUUAAAAAAUAUGCAGGUUGAAAUUGGUUUGAAUGUUACGUUAUACAUUUUCGUCUAGCUGCUUGGAAUAUAUGUUAUAAUCGUGCUGUUAGGGAAUUA
Molecule: long non-coding RNA, 690 nt
Filed under: Lathyrus oleraceus (garden pea)
Lineage: Eukaryota; Viridiplantae; Streptophyta; Magnoliopsida; Fabales; Fabaceae
Description: Pisum sativum (pea) long non-coding RNA (PSAT_LNC005181)
Source: RNAcentral